GUUCUCUUAGUAUAAUUAAUACAAAUGAUUUCCAAUCAUUAAUUUCAAGUAAACUCUUGAAGAAAACA
RNAcentral lists this transfer RNA (68 nucleotides) under Gymnopis multiplicata. Its description in RNAcentral is "tRNA-Gly". Lineage: Eukaryota; Metazoa; Chordata; Amphibia; Gymnophiona; Dermophiidae. The record is from RNAcentral.